This 227-nucleotide long non-coding RNA is filed under the name Setaria viridis. Its description in RNAcentral is "long non-coding RNA (SVIR_LNC008756)". Lineage: Eukaryota; Viridiplantae; Streptophyta; Magnoliopsida; Poales; Poaceae. The record is from RNAcentral.
CUUACUCUGCCAAGGUAAUACAAACAAACUCAAUAUUUUGGUAGCCACAAAUCUAAUAGCAACAACAAUACAAAUCAUAUGUCCAACAUCCACUUGCUCACCAGUACGUAUUCUCCACUUUACAUAGGGCAAACAUGUCCACAUGCAUCCCGCCUACAUAUAAUCUAGAUAGCAGUAUGUUACCUUGCCUACAUGUCAUCACCACACAUUCACAAAAGACUUUGCAA